Molecule: ribosomal RNA, 460 nt
Filed under: uncultured bacterium
Lineage: Bacteria
Description: partial 16S ribosomal RNA
Rfam family: Bacterial small subunit ribosomal RNA
Source: RNAcentral
CCUACGGGCGGCAGCAGUGAGGAAUAUUGGUCAAUGGGCGCGAGCCUUAACCAGCCAAGUAGCGUGAAGGAUGACUGCCCUACGGGUUGUAAACUUCUUUUAUAAAGGAAUAAAGUGAGGCACGUGUGCCUUUUUGUAUGUACUUUAUGAAUAAGGAUCGGCUAACUCCGUUCCAGCAGCCUCGGUAAUACGGAGGAUCCGAGCGUUAUCCGGAUUUAUUGGGUUUAAAGGGAGCGUAGAUGGGUUGUUAAGUCAGUGGUGAAAGUUUGCGGCUCAACCGUAAAAUUGCAAUUGAGACUGGCAGCCUUGAGUACAGUUGAGGUAGGCUGAAUGCGUGGUGUAGCGGUGAAAUGCUUAGAUAUCACGAAGAACUCCGAUUGCGAAGGCAGCUUACUAAACUGCCACUGACAUUGAUGCUCGAAAGUGUGGGUAUCAAACAGGAUUAGAUACCCGUGUAGUC